UUGGGGGUGGUCCCGGGGGGUCGUUGGGAUGGGGCUCAGUGCUGGGGGCAGCCCCUGGUGGGCUCUCGUAGCCACUCUCCUUCUUCUCCUCCGUCUUGAUGCUGCAGUUCACCAUGCUGCCUGCCCCAUCGAGCUCCAGGUGGGGAGAAACGGGGCUCCUCAUGGACAUCGGCUCCGCCGCGCUGCAGCGCUGCGCCCGGGUCCCGCUCCGGUGCCGCUCCCGGUGCCGCUCCCGGUGCGGGCUGCGCCGCCUCUCGCACGGCUCAGGUCCGCUCCAUGUCCCCGGCGCCUCCGCUGGGAGCUGCCCCGGCACCGGGCGGAG
RNAcentral lists this long non-coding RNA (322 nucleotides) under Gallus gallus (chicken). Lineage: Eukaryota; Metazoa; Chordata; Aves; Galliformes; Phasianidae. The record is from RNAcentral.